AUUGAACGCUGGCGGCAGGCUUAACACAUGAAAGUCGAGCGAGCGGCGGACGGGUGAGCAAUGUCUGGGAAACUGACUGAGGGAGGGGGAUAACUACUGGAACAGGUAUAUAAUAACGCAUACACUGAGAUGAGCCCAGAUGGGAUUAGCUAGGAGGUGGGGUAAUGGCACACCUAGGCGACGAUCCCUAGCUGGUCUGAGAGGAUGACCAUCCACACUGGAACUGAGACACGGUCCAGACUCCUACGGGAGGCAGCAGUGGGGAAUAUUGCACAAGGGGCGCAAGCCUGAUGCAGCCAUGCCGCGUGUGUGAAGAAGGCCUUCGGGUUGUAAAGCACUUUCAGCGAGGAGGCGUUACUCGCAGAAGAAGCACCGGCUAACUCCGUGCCAGCAGCCGCGGUAAUUC
This 406-nucleotide ribosomal RNA is filed under the name uncultured bacterium. Its description in RNAcentral is "partial 16S ribosomal RNA". It matches the Rfam family "Bacterial small subunit ribosomal RNA", at positions 30 to 526 of the family's 1533-position model. The record is from RNAcentral.